RNAcentral lists this ribosomal RNA (499 nucleotides) under uncultured bacterium. RNAcentral's name for it is "bacterial SSU rRNA". It matches the Rfam family "Bacterial small subunit ribosomal RNA", at positions 28 to 517 of the family's 1533-position model. The record is from RNAcentral.
GAUGAACGCUAGCGAUAGGCCUAACACAUGCAAGUCGAGGGGCAUCACAUGAAGUAGCAAUACGGAUGGUGGCGACCGGCGCACGGGUGAGUAACACGUAUGCAACCUGCCUUCAACAAGGGGAUAACCCGUUGAAAGACGGACUAAUACCCUAUAACACAGGGGUCCCGCAUGGGAAUAUUUGUUAAAGGACAACCGGUUGAAGAUGGGCAUGCGUUCCAUUAGCUAGUUGGCGGGGUAAGGGCCCACCAAGGCAACGAUGGAUAGGGGAACUGAGAGGUUUAUCCCCCACACUGGUACUGAGACACGGACCAGACUCCUACGGGAGGCAGCAGUGAGGAAUAUUGGUCAAUGGACGCAAGUCUGAACCAGCCACGUCGCGUGAAGGAAGACGGCCCUACGGGUUGUAAACUUCUUUUGAAGGGAAUAAAGUGUAGUACGCGUACUAUUUUGCAUGUACCUUACGAAUAAGGAUCGGCUAACUCCGUGCCAGCAGCCG